CGCAUCUGUGCAUGCAGCAUAUCAAUAAGCGGAGGAAAAGAAACUAACAAGGAUUCCCUUAGUAACGGCGAGUGAAGCGGGAAGAGCUCAAAUUUGAAAUCUUCAAGGUUUUACCUUGACGAAUUGUAGUUUAAAGAAGUGUUUUCUGUUGGAGUUUUGGUAAAAGUUCUUUGGAAUAGGACAUCAUAGAGGGUGAGAAUCCCGUAUUUGACCAUUAUUUUCAGCUGUGUGAUACACUUUCAAAGAGUCGGAUUGUUUGGGAAUGCAGUCCAAAAUGGGUGGUAAAUUUCAUCUAAAGCUAAAUAUUGGCGAGAGACCGAUAGCGAACAAGUACCGUGAGGGAAAGAUGAAAAGAACUUUGAAAAGAGAGUUAAACAGUACGUGAAAUUGUCAAAAGGGAAGCGUUUGACACCAGUGUUGUUUUCUCGAAAAUCAAUUAAAAAGAGUUUAGAUUUUGUUGUGUAUUGACCUUAACAGCUUGCAUUUCAAUUUUCUUGCUUUUUUUAAUGCACUUUUCGUUUAACAAGUCAACAUCAGUUUCUUUUGUUGUAAAAAGGUCAUUGGAAGGUGGCUUUCUUUUCGGAGAAAGUGUUUAUAGCCUUUGACUCCUGCAAUCGGAGAGACUGAGGUCUGCAGCGUAGAUCCUUCGGGGUUAGAUACAUUUGUGCUAAGUUAUAGCUUUUUAUAGACAACUUGUUGACUAUGAUUAGUCUUGUAGCUUACUCGCUUAUGCUAUUUUACCUACGCUUAGGAUGUUGAACUCUAUCACACACAG
This 775-nucleotide ribosomal RNA is filed under the name uncultured Neocallimastigales. Its description in RNAcentral is "partial large subunit ribosomal RNA". It matches the Rfam family "Eukaryotic large subunit ribosomal RNA", at positions 26 to 621 of the family's 3401-position model. The record is from RNAcentral. Lineage: Eukaryota; Fungi; Neocallimastigomycota; Neocallimastigomycetes; Neocallimastigales.